RNAcentral lists this long non-coding RNA (4523 nucleotides) under Pan troglodytes (chimpanzee). RNAcentral describes it as "long non-coding RNA NONPTRT018447". Lineage: Eukaryota; Metazoa; Chordata; Mammalia; Primates; Hominidae. The record is from RNAcentral.
UGAGUUUGUACCCCUAAUCCAUUAAAAAGUAGAAAACAGUGAAAUAGGGCAUUUGUUCUAAGUAAUGGGAGAAGAUGUAACUGGAGAAGAUGGAAAAAGUUGUAAGAACCACUGCUCUGUAUAGGUUGUAAAAGCAGUAUUAAAUAUGGUGCCUGCCCUUGCUAAAGGUAACAUGAAGUAAUAGGUAGGGUAAAUGCACUCAGCUGUGUGGGUUGCUUGAAAGAUCUUGUGAGCCUGUUCACUCUUGCAGUUGAAAGACUGGAUCACUUCUUUCUGGCAUUGUUUAUUUUUAUGCAGACUCCUCAGACCCCUGCACAAUUGAGAGAAAAGCCCGAAGAAUUAGCGUGACCUCCAAAGUACAGGCAGACAUCCAUGACACCCAGGCAGCAGCUGCAGAUGAGCAUCGAACUGGCUCCACACAAAGUCCUCGGACACAACCUCGAGAUGAAGACUACGAAGGGGCUCCAUGGAAUUGUGAUAGCUGCACCUUUCUUAACCACCCAGCACUAAAUCGCUGUGAGCAGUGCGAGAUGCCACGGUACACCUGAAUUCAGAAAAGUCUGCGCCAGGUUGAAAGUGAAACUUUGAGCACUACCAGAAGAAAAGGAAACCUCGGGACUCUAUUCAUCCACCCAGCCUUUUCAUUUUCGAUUGCACAGCGGGGAGGAGGAAUGGCUUUGUGGUCGUCGUUGUGCUCACGAAAGGAAAAAUGGGGAGGUCUUUUUUUCUCCUUUCUUAACUCACUACAGAGUGAGAGAUAGAAAGGGAUACUUGAAACUGGGAAAGGAUUCACUCUGUGAAAGAAUGUACACACAGAAGUCAAGAGCUCUUCUGUGGUGGAAUCCCAAUUGUUAAAGUUACUGCUGAGUGGCCCUUAUUUUUUAAAGUAGUACUUUGAAUCAUAGUAUGAAAUGUUACAGUUUAUGCAAACUGUGAAUUCCCAGAGCAGACUUACCUGGUCACCGCUCUCUGGAAAACCAAGGCUCCCCGUGCUUCUUCCCGUUGUUUCCUACUAAAGAGGACAACAGGAAAAAGCACCUAGAAUAUUUGGGGGGGGGGGGGGGGCAAAUUAAUUAAGGGUAUUUGUAAUUGCUGCUUUUUUCAGGGGUAAUUUCCAACACACAUACAUGCACACAAACAAAAUGUUUUAAAAUGUGAUUUGUAGCAGUCAGGAACUAGGCAUAUCAUGCCUUUGUUUAAAAGUACAAUCAGAGGUGGUAAGAUGCCUUUGGCUUGUACAGUGUGAUUCAUCGAGCUCUAUCAACACUGGUAACUAAGACCUACUUAUGCCACAUAAGAGAUGCAUUUUUUAAGUUACUGCAUGUUUUUAUUAAGGCCAUUGGUUUUCAAAAUAACAAGUCCUUACAAAGUAUGAUUUUAUAAAUGAUAUUCUCGUAAAACUGCGCUUUGCCAGUAGCACAGUGAAUGUAUGCCAAAUGCAAGUCCAUUCCAAAAUCCAUUUGGAAAUCUUGAGCUCAGCUGUGGUUCUUAAACUUUUGCAGUCCAUAGGGCCUUUUUUUUUUUCCUUCCAAUUUUGUGAUAAAUUCAUGAUGUUUACAGCACAGAUAAAACUUUGUGCCAUAAUCCUAAUUUAGCUGAAAUCAAUAUUAACUGUUCAAUAAAAACUUACUUGCAUAUGUUAAUAAACCAGUGUGAGGGGAAUUACAGUUGGCCAACGACAAAGUUGCACACUGCAUUAUUUAGGAAAGGAGGGAUUGUCAAAAAUUAUUAAGAGAAAGGUGAAUAUAGAGGACUUUGAAACAACUUUUAAAAUUUAACAUAACUGUAUCUAGAGGUCAAUUGAGUUUCUACAGGCAGUUCAGGUCAUUUUAAAGCACUCCUUAUUUAUGAAAUAGAACUUCAGGGUGCGGAUAAGAGAUAUAAAGUCAUGUGACUCACUAGGGUGCAUCGCUGGAAACUUAAUAGCACAUUUCAUUAAGGUCUCUGCCAUUGUUGGAGUUCCUUCUUAGCUCAGAAUUGGAGUUUUGGAAUCUUCCCCUCAUUUUGGUGAGUAUAAACAGCAAUAAAGUUAGUUAGUAGGUUCUCCCAUCCUAAAGGAUUUUACCUGAGGAUAUCGUCUUAGGAAUAUCCAUAGACGCUCCCAUCAGGUUUCUCCCCCAACCCCCCCUACACCCCCCCCCCACUUCUAAUUUAGCAGUAAUCUCUGGCAGACCUGGAAAAACAAGCUGCUCUUAAUAGCAUAAUGAAACCAAAGGCGUAAUAACUCAUCAUAGUUUUCCAUCAGAAUCAUUUCACACUCUGCCUACAGCUUUGAAAACUUUUUUUCAUAUGUGAAAAAUUCCCCAAAAUAUAUCCACUAGUCUCCCAAAGGAAGCAUGGUAAUUAACACUGAUAAAAACAUCUCUCACACAACAACUGUGGCAAAACUGUGAAAAUAACGGUGAGCAAGCAGAUGGGCUUAAAAGCAUGGUCCCCAAAACAACGUUCUUCAAAGGUUUUUGUAACACUGGUCUCUGUCUCCAAUAACAGUCUAGCCGUCCUACUGUUCUGUAAUAUGCCUUUGCCUUUGUAUGGUUUCAUAUCUCUUUAGUGAUGAUGGUCAACCCCACUUGGUUUUAAGUUACAAUUUAGGGGAAAAUAUAUAUAUAUACUGCUUGGUGUCCUAGCUAAAAGGUUUACCAGUAUUCAUAGUGAUAUGCUGAAGUGGAGGCAAUUAACUUGGCAGUUGUCAGUUGAGAAUGAAAGUAGCAUGUCUGAAAACAGUCUGAUGCUUUAUAAAACCAUGUAGAUGACUUUAAAACUAUUGCAUGAAAAUACAUCAAGGUUAAUAAGCUGUUAUACAGUAGAUGCAUGGUUUCAAUCCUUUGGUGAUAUAUCUAGUCAAUCAUUGUUUUCACCUGCCAGGAAAAGAGAGAAAACAGUCUAUUGGAUAGGUGUAAAGGGUGGGGUAUGCGGUAUCAGAUUGAUUUUAAGGAAGUUUUGUACAUGUUAAUUUUUAAUUGUGCACAAGUUUCAUAUGCCAACAUAGGCUGUAUUCAGUUUUAAAAUAGGCAAAAUGACUUGACACUGAUAAAUCUGGUAUGUUUAACUGUGUCCCAUAUGUAGACUGCUUUUUGCCUAUGACCAGUUUGAACAAGAAUUCACCCAACUUUCAAGAUGCCUUUUCAAAAGGAUCUUGUAGUCAGUUGGUAUGUACAGACAAUUGGCAUGGAAGUGGUAGGAUAUAAAUCGGAUGAUGCCUGGCUGCUGAGGUGCCAGCUGGAUCAGCUGGUGCACUUCUUGUUUCUUGUAAGAGGUUUCUUUAAAAUGACUAGUUUGAUGUAUCUGGUAACAUAUAGGCCUGACUAUACAUUUUACAUUAUUUCGCUAUUUUGUAAACUGGGAUUUUAGAAAGCACGUUUGCCAUUUUGUUAAAGUACAUUGCCCCUUAAAUUUUGGAGUAGUUUUUAAAAGUUUAAAAUGGUAAUAGAGGAGCCAGAAACUUUUUAAGCAUUGUAAAAUGUUUUGAAUUGAUAUUGACUUUGUUUGGAAGAGAGUAGAGGCAGGGGGCUUUAAAGAAACAAAGAAAUGCAUUGUAAAAAUGUAGUUUUAGAGCAAAUUAAUAAUGAUGGUGGGGAAAGUGUUGCUAAUUUGUUUAUUUCCCUGGAAGAAAUGGGAAGUGUGAUAAGCAGUUUAAUUUUUAAGGAGCUGGUCUCAAUUUUAGUACUUUUUAAUUAUGCAAAUAAAUCAAUGUUUCCUUAAAUUUUGUCAUUGCUUUGUCACAGUUGUCUAGGGUUCAUAUCCAACCUUCUGUGGCAAUUCAAUUUUAUAUAGUCUUUUAAGAGGUAAUUGUAAUGUAUUUCUGACAGUAUAAACAAAAAGAAUAUAAGGCAUAGAAGAAUUGUCCUCUAAAAAUAUCAAUGAUGUAUCCUGGAAUGUGAAGAUGUCCCUUUAUAGUUAAAAAUUGAAUUAUUUUAAUAUUGUACCAUUGUUAGACCUUGAAUGAGUCCAUGUUACCGUGUGUGUCUGUAUAUCUAUCUGUAGAGAAAGAAAAAUGACAACUGAAAUGUUACUUUUAAAAAUCAGAAUAAAUCGGGCACUGUCUGUGUUGCACCACUACUGUAUCUUUUCGAAAGAAUUAACAGUAUUUGCCUAUUGUAAAAGUUAAUUCUGAUGACGUUUUCACAUUCACCAGACUUUUUUUCCUGUAUUAUUUGCAUCCCCAAAUAUUUAAUACAAGUAGAUUCUGCAUGGCUUGGGCAUUCAGAGAUUAAUAGAAUGAUGACUCAAUUUUAAUUCUAAAGCCAUGAAAAGUUACUUUGAGACUGAACAAUUCUGAAUUAUUUAUGAUACCCAAUGUCCAUGUUUCUUUCCCUACUGUAAAAGAAUUGAUCAGUUUCUUCAUUAAAGCAGCAAAAACUUAUUAAAUCUUGUAAAUACCAUGUCUCUUUUAGAUUUCUGUGUAUGCUGUGAAUGAAAUCAUUUUGAGAUGAAAUUGUACAAAGGCAUUUUAAAAGGCUCUGCAUGCAUCGUACCUCCAAACAGUACAUAUUCGGAAAGUCAAAGAUUCCUGCAAAAUAAAU